Molecule: long non-coding RNA, 551 nt
Organism: Gadus macrocephalus (Pacific cod)
Lineage: Eukaryota; Metazoa; Chordata; Actinopteri; Gadiformes; Gadidae
Exons: 2
Source: RefSeq, a predicted model, not a curated record
CCACACCUCAAUCCGGUAUGUUCCAACAGGUGCCUCAGAGUUCAAUUUGUAAGAAAGCUGCAGUAAUGUUCCGUUCGGUGCCUGAUUCAACCACUGUCCAAUCCGGUUUGUGCCAUACUAUUUAGGUAAAGAUAUACACAUCUCGUUGACUGAUCUGAGUUUGCUGUCAAGGGUUAUCACUCUGAAAUGUACUGCAAGAAGAGAGGACAGAUAAAGUCUGAGGAAAUCUUCUGGGGAAUGAUUUAGUUUCACACACAGCAGACUAGACAUUGGACACAUCUUUUUAUUCUUUAAAAUCCAACUGUUUUAGAUCAAUUGGACAUAAUCAGUGAUUGCAAUGGAAUGAUUUUAGUUCAAAUACGUUUAAAUGUUGAGUGAUUCAGUCAAAUGAAACUGAAAUUACCAGUUUGUCCUGGGAGGUAGAUGGGUUUAUCCGUUUGGAUGAACGUCUGUGGGUUGUAAGAUUUGAUCAUCACUUUCCUCACUUCUUUCAUUACAAAGUCUUGGCCUUGAAGAAUAACCUCCAAUUCCUGUACAGAAUUCUGCACUUU